This 585-nucleotide ribosomal RNA is filed under the name uncultured bacterium. RNAcentral describes it as "partial 16S ribosomal RNA". It matches the Rfam family "Bacterial small subunit ribosomal RNA", at positions 355 to 1375 of the family's 1533-position model. The record is from RNAcentral.
UGGGGAAUUUUGGACAAUGGGCGAAAGCCUGAUCCAGCAAUGCCGCGUGUGUGAAGAAGGCCUUCGGGUUGUAAAGCACUUUUGUCCGGAAAGAAAUCCUUGGCUCUAAUACAGUCGGGGGAUGACGGUACCGGAAGAAUAAGCACCGGCUAACUACGUGCCAGCAGCCGCGGUAAUACGUAGGGUACAAGCGUUAAUCGGAAUUACUGGGCGUAAAGCGUGCGCAGGCGGUUUGCUAAGACCGAUGUGAAAUCCCCGGGCUCAACCUGGGAACUGCAUUGGUGACUGGCAGGCUAGAGUAUGGCAGAGGGGGGUAGAAUUCCACGUGUAGCAGUGAAAUGCGUAGAGAUGUGGAGGAAUACCGAUGGCGAAGGCAGCCCCCUGGGCCAAUACUGACGCUCAUGCACGAAAGCGUGGGGAGCAAACAGGAUUAGAUACCCUGGUAGUCCACGCCCUAAACGAUGUCAACUAGUUGUUGGGGAUUCAUUUCCUUAGUAACGUAGCUAACGCGUGAAGUUGACCGCCUGGGGAGUACGGUCGCAAGAUUAAAACUCAAAGGAAUUGACGGGGUCAUAGCUGUUUCCU